This 329-nucleotide unclassified non-coding RNA is filed under the name soil metagenome. RNAcentral describes it as "partial contains 5.8S ribosomal RNA, internal transcribed spacer 2, and large subunit ribosomal RNA". The stretch from base 2 to 120 matches the Rfam family "5.8S ribosomal RNA", at positions 36 to 154 of the family's 154-position model. The record is from RNAcentral.
UAUGAAGAACGUAGCGAAAUGCGAUAAGUAAUGCGAAUUGCAGAUCUCAGUGAAUCAUCGAAUCUUUGAACGCACAUUGCGCCCCCUGGUAUUCCGGGGGGCAUGCCUGUCCGAGCGUCAUUACAACCCUCAAGCUCAGCUUGGUGUUGGGCCCCGCCGCCCCGGCGGGCCCUAAAGUCAGUGGCGGUGCCGUCCGGCUCCGAGCGUAGUAAUUCUUCUCGCUCUGGAGGUCCGGUCGUGUGCUCGCCAGCAACCCCCAAUUUUUUUCAGGUUGACCUCGGAUCAGGUAGGGAUACCCGCUGAACUUAAGCAUAUCAAUAAGCGGAGGA